AAAAAUUCAGAGUGUUUGCGCAUUCGAAUUUCCACCCUGCGUAUCUGUUACCGUAAGCUUUCGCCGGGCCGCGGAGCGAGGUCCACCCUUCGGGGUGCGCCCGCCUCCCCUUCUGACCGGGCAACAGCCCUCUCGGGAGAGUCCUGGCGGGAGCCAACCAAACAAACCCAUUUCUGUUGCGUAUAGUCUGAUGGUGAUCUAAAAAAUCAAUCA
RNAcentral lists this unclassified non-coding RNA (213 nucleotides) under uncultured Ascomycota. Its description in RNAcentral is "sequence contains ITS1". Lineage: Eukaryota; Fungi; Ascomycota. The record is from RNAcentral.